GACGAACGCUGGCGGCGCGCCUAACACAUGCAAGUCGAACGGAGUUUCCCCUUCGGGGGGAGCUUAGUGGCGGACGGGUGAGUAACACGUGAGGAACCUGCCUUUGAGAGCGGGAUACCGUCUGGAAACGGACGUUAAUACCGCAUAAUGCAGCGAGGCCACAUGGCCAUGCUGCCAAAGAUUUAUCGCUCAAAGAUGGCCUCGCGCCUGAUUAGAUAGUUGGCGGGGUAACGGCCCACCAAGUCUGCGAUCAGUAGCCGGACUGAGAGGUCGAACGGCCACAUUGGGACUGAGAUACGGCCCAGACUCCUACGGGAGGCAGCAGUGGGGAUAUUGCACAAUGGGCGAAAGCCUGAUGCAGCGACGCCGCGUGAGGGAAGACGGUUUUCGGAUUUGUAAACCUCUGUCUUCGGGACGAAACAAGACGGUACCCGAGGAGGAAGCCACGGCUAACUACGUGCCAGCAGCCGCGGUAAAACGUGCGUG
This 486-nucleotide ribosomal RNA is filed under the name uncultured bacterium. Its description in RNAcentral is "bacterial SSU rRNA". It matches the Rfam family "Bacterial small subunit ribosomal RNA", at positions 28 to 533 of the family's 1533-position model. The record is from RNAcentral.